UAUUUAUUUUUUCCGUCCAAGAAAAAAUGUCUUGAGUUUAUCAAAAUUUGGAUGUAUCUAGACAUGACUUAGUGUAUAGAUGCAUUCAAAUUUAGUCAAAGUUGAGACAUUUUUUGUUGGACGGAGGGAGUAUUUC
Brachypodium distachyon (stiff brome) is the source of this 136-nucleotide non-coding RNA. The record is from Rfam. Lineage: Eukaryota; Viridiplantae; Streptophyta; Magnoliopsida; Poales; Poaceae.